Molecule: long non-coding RNA, 7039 nt
Filed under: Equus asinus (donkey)
Lineage: Eukaryota; Metazoa; Chordata; Mammalia; Perissodactyla; Equidae
Description: lncRNA (ENSEASG00005032433.1)
Source: RNAcentral
UCCCAAAGCUAGACUUCUAAGGAAAAGUAACUUGCCAGUCCCCUUAAAAUAUGUAACUAAAAGCUAUCUACACUUUUAUAUUUUAAAUAUAUUGUUGGGGCUUCAUUUCAAAUUGGUAUACUGUAAAACUGUUUCAGAUAGCUUUAAAUCCAAGGCAGUGGCUUUCAAACUCCUUUGACAGCAACUUACAAAAAAAAAAAAUGAAAUAAUUUUUAUAUAAACCACUAUACAGACACACACACACACAAAACUAAUACAAAAGUUUUAUGAAACUUUACUUCCCCUUAUUACAUGUGAUACCCUCUAAUAUUAUCUACUCCAUUUUGUUUCAUUGUUUAUUAAGUGCUUGUCAUAAUCUAGUCACAUAGGUCAGGACGUGCAGUUUGAAAAACACUCUUCUCAAAUUAUGGAUUCCACGUACUCUAGCUGGUAGUCUCUUGUCCAGAUUUUUAAAAGGCUCAUCAAAAAGCAGGAUUUGCUAAAGGAACUUCAGUCCCCAUUACAGCACUGUCUUUGGGAUUCCUACCAUAAGUUUCCAGAUGAAUAAGCAGCUUUUCCUUUGCAGAAUUGUGAUGUAAGUUCAAGAGCAAGUGCACAGGACGUAAAAUAAGAAUAGAGUUGAAAAAGGAGGAACAUCUCCAAAUGCAAUGUGUGUCCCUCUGGAAAACAUAAAGCAGCCUAGAGUGAGGUGAGGGAGACAAAACAGAAAAAAAAACUAACAGAGAAAAGAUCAAGCUUGCAGCAUCAUAUCUCCAGGCUUUGCAAGGUGCACUUGUACUUUCAACCCCAUGAGACAGAGUGAUGUUCAGCAUGACUCCACUAAUCAUGUGGCCUUGAGUAUCUCAGCAGACAUCAGUUAAGUCAUUUAAAAGGAUAACUGCAACUUAAAUUAGUUCAUCCUAUUUAUGCAAAAAUGGUAAAUUCAAAUAAGCAAGGUAAUUUGCUUCUAUUUAUUUCAAUUUUAAAAUUUUUUUAAUCACUUGGCAUCUCAAAUCAAAGCAAAUGGGUAAUAUUAUCAAUUAUAUCUUAAAUACGUAAACAUAUGAACUGAUUUAAAACUCUUAUUUGAUAUGCACUUGUUAACAUUUGCACUAGAGUAGGGAACCACAUUCAAGACUUAAAACUUAAAACAGGGUCAUGUCCUUGAAAACAAAAGAACGUCGUCAGAAAAGCCCCCUUGUGAGAAUCUAGCAACAGAGUGAGUCCCUAAAAUCUGUUAAGCUAUUCCACAGGGAAAGUAUGGUAGAUCACACUAGUAAAGGCAAAACUGUGGAAGCUUAUGAAAUAUUUAUCAAGGGAAAUGUUUGAUAAAUAAUAAAAAUAUUCAGUUUUAGGAAGGAGUAUGAUGAGCUUCAACAUGGUUGCACUUAUGAGCACAGAACUUUCAUAGGAAAGAAAGAAGUAGAAAUUUAUUGAGUAUGUUUUGUCAGGCAUCACUAAAUACUUUCAAAUACAUUAUAGCAUUGGAAACUGGGAAUCAGAGAUGUUAAGUAACUUGUCCUAGGUCACACAGUGAUAAAUGACAGAGCUAGAAUUUAAACUUGAUCUUCUAAUUACACAUCAGUUUUUUUUCACGUUGAUAAUCAUUUUAUCCUGAAGCAGUACUCCAGAUAUGAUAAUGCUUAAAAUAUUUGCUUAAGCAUUUCCUAGGAUUUCUGAUCAAGGUGAAUUCAGAUUUCAGUUUCAAGGCUAAUGAAUGAUAAAGUGAUCUUUAAAAUAAAGAAAAUAGAUUAUAAAUAUGCAUGCAUUCUGAGUGGCAUAUGAAUCUCUCAAACAUUUGAUGAAGUGUUCUUCACGUCUCAUGUAAGGAUGAAAGAAAUUAUCUAUUGUGUAACAAACCACACCAAAGUGUAGUAGCUUAAAACAGGAACUUUUUUUUUUUUAAAGAUUUUAUUUUUUCCUUUUUCUCCCCAAAGCCCCCCAGUACAUAGUUGUAUAUUCUUCGUUGUGGGUCCUUCUAGUUGUGGCAUGUGGGACGCUGCCUCAGCGUGGUUUGAUGAGCAGUGCCAUGUCCGCGCCCAGGAUUCGAACCAACGAAACACUGGGCCGCUUGCAGCGGAGCGUGCGAACUUAACCACUCGACCACGGGGCCAGCCCCAAAACAGGAACUUUUUAUUGUCUCUUAUUGUUCUGUGGGUUGGCUGUGGUUGGCCUGACAGUUCUCUCCUGGGGUCUCUUAGGAAGUGCAGUCAGAUGUCAGCUGGGACUGCGAUCAUCUAUAGGCUCAACUGGGCUGGACUUCAAGAUGGUUCACUUCUAGGAUGGCAGGGGAUGCUGGCUAUCUUACUUGGGGCUGCCAACUUGAGGGCCUACAUGUGGCCUCUUUAUGUGACUUGGGCUUCUCUCAAAGUGAUGGCUGGGUUCCAAAAGAAAGCAUCCCAGAAGAAAUGUUCCAAAAGACCUAGGCUUCUUAUGGCUUAGCUUCAAAAGUCCCAGAAACUCUCUUCCACAGCACUCUGUUGGUUGAGCCAGUCACUGAGGCCUAGGCAGAGGGACGUAGACUCUGCCUUUUGAUAUGAGAAGCAGCAGGCAAUAAGGGAGGGAGGGAGACUGCCCAUCUCACCUUAGUCUUUAGCCUCCCAUCCUGGCAUCUCUACUUUAUGCAACUGAGUUAGAAGGGGAAAUAUAUAAUACAACUACAAUAACACAAAUUAUUGUGUGGUGUUUUCCUAUUUUUUUGGCACUGUCUCUUUCUCUGGAAGCACAGCCCUUCUUAAAUGAAUGAAUAAAUGAAAGUCUCUGGUCCUCCCCUUCCCAUUCUACUCUUUUGUUCCCUCGUUGCCUCUCUUCUGUUUUCUAUCCUUCUUUCUAACUGAAGAUAAAGGGUGUAAAAACAUUUUUUUUUUAAAAGAAGCAAUGUACUCUAAUCAGUUAAUUAACCUUAUGGUUAAUUUCUCCCCAAAUCUACCAUUUGAUAUCUGCCUGACUGAUUCAAUCAUCAUUCUAUAUAGGAAGGUAAUAAGAUAAUUUCUUUAAAUGCAGGCAAAGGAACAAGAGGGAAAAACGGGAAAGAAAAAGUAGGUUACCAAAGGAGGAAGGAAAAUAUAAAUGGGAAGUGAAACAAAUCAGGAAGGUUGAAUGAUAUUAAACCCAAAAGGCUGAAAAAACAAAAGGAAAGAAGCCAGAUUCUCCCCUUAUAAUACUGUGUCCAUCCUGCCUUCCUUUCCAGUCCAUUGCCACCCAUCACUAGCCGAGUCUAACCUUGUUUCUUAAUGCCUGAAUUAUUGCUGUGUCAUCUUACCUACUCUCCCUGCCUACGGUCUUUAUCCUCUUAGAAACCAUCAAAAGCACCAUUUUCCUCAUGGUGCUCCCAAUUUAAACAAAAAGAAAAAAAAGAAACACUAAAUGACUGCUGAAGAAUGAAAUCCAAUAUAAGCAUUUGAAUGAUUUUCAUAAUCUGACCUAACCUUCCUUGCCAUUGUUUCUCAAGUCUUCCCUACAUGAAACUAUUGACUCAACCAGGACGCUCUACUCACUGAAUCCAAAUACACAGAAAAAUGAGCCUAGAUCCCACUGUUUAUUACAUCAUGAAAAAUAUCAAACCUGAAACAAGGAAAAAUAAUUAAUAAACAGCAAAAAUCUGUUUCACAAAGCAGUGUGGCAACAUUGUAAGCUUAUAAUUACAGCACUUGUGGUCCAGAUCACUUCUUAGGCAUACAGCCUUCUUUUUGUCUUCUGUCCUUUGCUCUAACAGAUCCUAUCACCAGGAGUUUUCCCUGCUGCUGUCUGCCUUAGCAAAUCCUGUCUCACCGGAACCCGCAAGAAGUCCUCCUCUUCAUGGAAACUGAUGAUCCUUCCUCUUGCCCAUGAACCCACCUGGAGGAGUCAAGCCCAGCAUGGAUGCCAGUGAGUUGGGUCAAAGCCAGGGAAAGGUCCUGGGAUCAAGAACUGGAUGAGUAGAGUGAAAAUUUCUGAUCAGCCAGAAGUAGAAAGAGCCAGAAGAUAAACCAAACCCAUUUUCCAAGGAGUGCCAAAGGUGAAAAGCAGGAAAGCCAAAAUACUCAUCAAGACCAAAGGGGGAGCACAGAGCCAGAAGCUGGGAGGAGAAAGGGAGUCAAGAAAGUCAAUGCCAGGAACUGCUAUGCUAGCUGAGGCACAUGGUACCCUGUAAACCUGAAGAGAUGCUCAGUGAGGCACUGCUUCCUGCAUGAGACACUAUAGUAACCCAAGGCCAGAUCACCCUCAGGUUGAGGAUAGCCUGCACUAAGAGUCCUUCAUCUUGGUUUAACUUUAAGAAGUCAAAUGGAUGCAUGAGAAAGCUCCACAGACCAAAUCCAAGAUCUUAGCCAAGCCCCAAAGUAGCCUGUUACACAUUCUUCUGGAAGUAAUGACUGUACUAGCUUCACAUCUUCAUAACUAAAAAGGGCCACUUGAAGGGCCCAGAACAAGGUUUGCACAAAGGCACAAUGAUUUCUGCUACCUCAAUAGAUGCAGAAAAAACAUUUGACAAAAUCAAAAUCUCUUCCUGAUCAAAAUACUCAUCAAACUAGGAAUACAAAAUCCUCAACUUGAUAAAGAGCAUCCAUGGAACCCCACGGUGCACAUCAUACUUAAUGGUGAAAGUCUGCAUGUUUCCCCUAUGAUCAGGAACAAGCAAGGAUGUCUGCUGUCACCACUUCCAUUCCACAUUCUACCUGGUGGUUCUACCCAAGGCAACCGGACAAGAAAAAGAAAUAAAGACACCCAGAUUGGAAUGGAAUAAGUAAAUCUAUAUUUCCAGAUGACAUGAUCUUGUAUAUAGAAAAUCCUAAGGAAUCUACAAGGACCCUAUUAGAGCUAAUAAAUGAGUUCAGCAAGGUUUGAGGCUACAGGUCAAUGUGCAAAAAGCAAUUAUGUUUCUAUACACUAGCAAUAAACAAUCUGAAAAUGAAAUUAAGAAGGAAAAUCCCAUUUACAACAGCAUCAAGAAGAACAAAAUAAUUAGGAAAAAAUUAAUAAAAGAAGUACAAAACUUGUACUCUGAAGAUAUAUGUAUGGGAUAUGAAGAAUUGAGAACAUUCAUCCUCUGCUGAAAGAAAUGUAAGUUGGUAUCACCACUUUGGAAAGACAGUUUGGCAUGAUAGUAAAACUGAAUAUGCACAAACCCUUCAAUUCUGCAAUUCUGUUCCUCGGUUUAUACACCAGGGAAUAUGUACACAAAUGAGCAAGAAGUCACAUUCAUAAUAGCCCCAAACUGAAAAAAAACGUGCAUAUGCAUUAGUGAUGAGCUGGUUUAGUAAAUCGUGACAUAGUCAAACAGUGGAACACACUGUAUAACCAAUAAUAUGAAUAAACUACGGCUAAAAAAGCAUAUCAAAACUAUAAUUCUGAUUAAAAGAAUUAAAUCUACAUAACUCCCAUUUACAGAAAGUUUAAAAACAAGAAAAUUCAGUAAUACAUUUAUAAUAUAAGGAUAUAUACACAUAUAAUAAAAAUAUGCAUGGAACUGACCCUGUGGCCCAGUGGUGAAGUUCCCAUGCUCUGCUUCGACAGCCCAGGGUUUGCUGGUUCACAUCCUGGGCAUGAACCUAGCAGCACUCAUCAAGCCAUGCUGAGGCAGCAUCCCACAUAGAAGAACUAGGAGAACCUACAACUAGGAUAUACAGUUAUAUACUGGGGGACUUUGGGGAGAAAAAAAAAGAGGAAGAUUGGCAACAGAUGUUAGCUCAGGGCCAAUCUUCCUCACCAAAAGAAAGUGAUAUAAUUUAAAAAUAAUAAUAAAACUAUGCAGAAAAGCAAGAGAAUGAUUAACCUAAAAUUAAAGUUGAAGGGUGUCAGAAGGAGCACAAGACGUCUUCUGGUGAACUGGCAAUAUUCUGUUUCUUAACCUAGAUAUUGGAUAGUGUGAUGGUUAAUUUGAUGUGUCACUUGACAGAACUAAGGGGUGUAUUUGUGGGGAUGAUUUCAGAAGAGAUUAGCAUUUUAAUUGAUAGACUGUGUAAAGAAGAUGGCCCUCCACAAUGAGAGUGGACGUCAUCCAAUCCUUUGAGUGCCCACAUGUAUGGUAGUCCCCCUUUUCUGUGGUUUUGCUUUCUCAGGUUUUGGUAACCUGAGGCCAACCGAGGUCUGAAAAUAUUAAAUGAAAAAAACCAGAAAUAAACAAUUCAUAAGUUUUAAAUUGCAUGCCAUUCUGAGUAGUGUGAUGAAAUCUCACACAGUCCCACUCCAUCCUGCCAGAGAUGUGAAUCAUCCCUUUGUCCAGCAUAUCCACACUGUAUACACUACCUGCCUAUUAGUCACUUAGUAGCCAUCCUGGUUCAGUGCUUGCAUUCAAGUAACCCUUAUUUUACCUAAUAAUGACCCCAAAGCACAAGACUAGUGAUGCUGGCUAUUGGGAUAUGCCAAAGAGAAGCCAUAAAGUGCUUCCUUUAAGUGAAAAGAUGCAAGUUCUAGACUUCAUAAGGAGAGAAAAAAACUAUAUGCCAAGGUAGCCAAGAUCUUCAUUAUGAAUGAAUCUUCUAUCUAAGAAAUUGUGAGGAAGGAAAAAGAAAUGCUAGUUUUGCUGUCACACCUCAAAUAUGUAUGUAUAGGAAAAAACAUAGUAUACAUAUAAAGUUUGAUACUAUCCAUGGUUUCAGGCAUCCACUGGGGGUCUUGGAAUGUAUCCCCAUGGAUAAGGUGUGAUUACUGUAAUGGAAAGGCAGAGGAAGGGCAAUUCCUUCUCUCUGCUUGAGCUGGGACAUCUAUCUUCUCCUGCCCUUGGACUUUGGUGCUCCUGGUUCUCAGGCCUACAUGCUUGGACUGGAACUAUAUCACUGGCUUUCCUGGGCCUCCAGCUUACAGACAGCAUAUUGUGGGACUUCUCAGCCUCUGUAAUCAUGUGAGCCAAUUCCUCAUAAUAAAUUUCCUUCUGUAUAUCUCUAUAUAUCCUAUUGGUUCUGUUUCUCUGGAGAACUCUUACUAAUACAGAUACAAGGGUGUUGUUUUAUUUUUUCACUUUAAACUGUACAAAUACAUUGUAUAUACUUCUGUAUGUAGGAUAUAUCAUGCACACAUGCAAUUGGGAUCUUAUCUGCUUAAUAUACAAGUCCCAGCAGCAGUGAGGGACUCAGGAAAAUGA